GAUAUUUCCUCUCAAUUUAUGGAAGUAGGGAAUUUUUCUGAAGGCAGAAAUCAAGGAUUCAAGAACCCAAGUUGGACUCUUGAUUCCACUGAGACCACUGUGUGCAUUUUGAAAUGUUCCAAAUGUGUAUCACGUCCAUACGGAAGAAGUUCCAAGCCCACAAUGGGCUCUAUGAACUGUCCAGGGCAAAGUCGGUCUACCCUGAUGACACUCCCUGUUCCUUGAUGGUAACCAUGGCUGCUGCCCUCAACGUGAGCCCUCAGAAAUAAACUGAUAUCAAUAAUUAAUAUGGAUGGUGAUUGUGGCAAGGGUGCCUCCAUAAGGUGCCAUCCAGAAGCCCCAGCCUGGAGCCAGUGGCUGCUAUUGCAAGACUCAUGGGGGAUGAUCUGCAGGCAAAGCUACGAUUAGACACUUGACAUUUACUGCGAAAGGUACCAUCAGAGCACCUCUCCCUACCCUGCAGGAUAUCUAUACCAGAAAAGUACAACAACGGCCCAAAACUAUUUCCAAAAGACAUUUCACACCCUGACCAUGGACUGUUUAAACCACUGAGGUCAAGCAGACGUCUCUGUUCCCACAUGGCUAAAACAGAAAGGAAACAAGGAGUCUUUUCUCAAUAUGCUGCUCCAUCGCUCCACCCCUGAAACAUCAGUUUCGAUCUUGAACACAUGAGGAUGUUGCCUCAAGUUUGCCUGCAGACAGUCAAUAUAGACAGGUGUGUUGUUUUGAUUUGAUGUUUAGAUUGCCAUGCAUACAGUAUCUUUACAAUAAUGAUGAACAUGUAUGAACAAUGAACAAAUUCUCAUUUGGUUUUACCUACAUUGGGAUUAAAGGAACACUUAACCGUUUUUUCAUAUUAAACUACAUUAUUCCCUUAACUAAGACGAGUUGAUACAUACCUCUCACGUUUCAAUGCGUGCA
Long non-coding RNA from Sardina pilchardus (European sardine), 921 nucleotides. RefSeq lists it as uncharacterized. Lineage: Eukaryota; Metazoa; Chordata; Actinopteri; Clupeiformes; Clupeidae. The transcript has 5 exons. The record is from RefSeq and is a predicted model, not a curated record.